This 379-nucleotide ribosomal RNA is filed under the name uncultured eukaryote. RNAcentral's name for it is "partial 18S ribosomal RNA". It matches the Rfam family "Eukaryotic small subunit ribosomal RNA", at positions 592 to 976 of the family's 1831-position model. The record is from RNAcentral.
CAACAGCGUAUAUUAAAAUUGUUGCGGUUAAAACGCUCGUAGUCGAAUUCUUGCUAGGUGGUACUGGUGCUUCCCAGUGAAGUAUACGCGGUGUUCGCUUCAGCUAUUACUUGGUGAAGGUGCAUACGCUUCAGUGCGUGUCACACUAUCCAAGUCCUUGCUUUGAGGAAAUGGGAGUGUUCCAAGCAGGCGCAUGCCUUGAAUAUGAUAGCAUGGAAUAACAGUAUGAGACCUCCUUUCAAAGUUGUUGGUUCUUUGGAAUUAGGUAAUGAAAACAUGGAUGGUUGGGGGUAUUCGUAUUUAACUGUCAGAGGUGAAAUUCUUGGAUUUUUUAAAGACAAACUAGCGCGAAGGCAUUUACCCAGGAUGUUCUCAUUGA